This is a long non-coding RNA of Rosa rugosa (rugosa rose), 2123 nucleotides long. RefSeq lists it as uncharacterized. The transcript has 4 exons. NCBI's taxonomy places the organism in Eukaryota, Viridiplantae, Streptophyta, Magnoliopsida, Rosales, Rosaceae. The record is from RefSeq and is a predicted model, not a curated record.
AAGAAUGAAAAAAAAAAAAAAAAAAGGAAAUCGAGACAAGAGGUGGAAAGUGAGAGCACUCAGAGCAGAGAGUGUAGUGUACCCAGUAAAGCUGGCACCGAGCUCCCAAGCAAAACUUCCCAAUUCGAUCCUAGCAAUGGCCAAAUCGAAAUCCCUUUCGGUUUCAGAUGAGGCAAACGAUACCCGUGAAGGUCCUUAUCCAUGCAAACCAUAUCGCUUUGUGUAUCUUGGCAAGUCCCCACUUCCGCUUCGAUAGCCAAUUUUAUCAGCUUUCCAUCGACAAUCGAUUUGUGUAACUUGGAAAGUCUCAUUUUGAAUCUCAAAAGUUGCAACAGUGCCAGAUGAAUGCUUUUAAGAGCCAAUUUUAUCAGCUUCCUGUCGACAAUCGAUUUCAUUUUGUUCUAUUCAAUGUGUUUGCUCAAAGCUAGCCUAACGAGUUCCAGUUCCAAGAUUUGGUAUUUUGUGGUAAUAGACUUUGAGGCUGCAUGUGAUAAGGAUAGAAAUCCGGAUCCUCAAGAGAUAAUUGAGUUUCCAUAUGUGAUUGUGAGUUGACUGGCCAACUGGAACCAUGUUUCCAGACUUAUGUGCGGCCAACCUGCAAUCAUCUACUGAGUGAUUUCUAUAAGGAUCUGACAGGCAUACAGCAAAUUCAGGAGGAUCAUGUAAAGCGUGUAGAGAAUCUUGUGAAACAACUUGCACCACCAAUUUUUAAGGUUCACUACACUAAAGAACAAGAUAGUUUUGCAAUUUCAUAUGAAUGUGGCAAAAACCAAAGCAGCAACUAUCAAGAAGCAAUGCAGCAAUUAUCAAGUAAAAAUGUGAUGUGUUCAAAUAAAAAAAGACUGCUGCAUCUUUAAAUAUUGCAUAAGAAAAUCAUCGAACAAUUUAUGAAGGCCAAAAAUGUUAAGUUCUGAAAGUUUCUCCUACGAGACACAUGUUACCAGAUUUUUGUGAUAAUUGAAUAGAAUAACAUAAUUCAGGAACAAGAACAGUACGAGGGAGAUCAUAAUAGAAUAGAGAAUAGGAAAGUUAAAUCUUAUUCAACUAUUUACUUCUAGAAAUUCUCUGUAACAUGGUUGUAAUAUGUGAGAUUGUGUUUCUUUCAGUAGAAAAGUUUAAACUUCAAAUCUCUCAAAACUCGUGUUGCAGGCUUUGGUUUUGAGACAUGGUUCUUUAUAUGUAUUGCUCCCAAGGGAUUAGAUCAUGAGACAUGGUCCUGUAAUACACAAUGCAAACUGUGGCUUGUUUCUAUGAGACAUGGUUCUUUGUAUGUAUUGCACACUUAUGAUGCCGUGCAAAAAUCUGCACAUGCCAUUACCUUUGCAAAUAUCUAAAAUAUAAUGUGAAGUGGGAAGACAAGAUUCAUAUAUAGAACUGUGGUACUGGUAACUGUGGUUGGAGUAAAUUUAUUCACUUUCACAACUGACUUGGAGAGUCAAGUCAGUUGUUUUCAUUUCUGUGUUUAUUAAUUGGCACUGUUCUUUCUGCUAGGAGUUAUUCUAACGAGGAAGUUACCAAAGCUGCCAAGAACUAAAUGCAGGUUUGUCUCAUAAAGAGAAGAAAAGAAGCUAGAAUGAGCUACGUAGGAUUGAAAGGCGAUUGCAAUACCACGUUCCAGAAUCUGUCUGUGCAGAACAUCCAACUUCGCCGAAUUACUGGGAGUUACCCACAUCGAAUCAGACAAUGACCCUUAUAUUCAUGGAAAGCUACGGAUGUCUAUUUUCUGUAGAAUUUUACGGAUCUUGAUUUCGAUAUUUCUGGAGAAAGUUAUGAUUAUUUGAGUGAAGAUAGGUCGGACAGGAAAUCUGCUCGGGAAUUUACAACCAUUCGUGGAGAACUCAAGUUCCAUGGCACAAGAUCAUCAAUCCUAACGUUUUAAGGAAUUUAAUUCAGAUGAGGAUUCAAUGAUUAACUUAUUCCUACUUCUACAAGAGAUAUUUCAAGCUUUUCCCAUUCCAAAUGAAGAAAGGAAUCUAAACCCAAGUUUUACAAGGAAACAUGAAGCCAAAGGAUGAGCAGAAAUCUUCCCUAUAUAAGGGAGCACGAAUUUACAUGAAGAGAGAGUCUCGGGAGCACAAUGUAGACGCCUAAGGAGUAGAGACGACUCAUCCAUCUUCCCUUUC